GAUGAACGCUGGCGGCGUGCCUAAUACAUGCAAGUCGAGCGAACAGACGAGGAGCUUGCUCCUCUGACGUUAGCGGCGGACGGGUGAGUAACACGUGGAUAACCUACCUAUAAGACUGGGAUAACUUCGGGAAACCGGAGCUAAUACCGGAUAACAUGUUGAACCGCAUGGUUCAACAGUGAAAGACGGUCUUGCUGUCACUUAUAGAUGGAUCCGCGCCGCAUUAGCUAGCUGGUAAGGUAACGGCUUACCAAGGCAACGAUGCGUAGCCGACCUGAGAGGGUGAUCGGCCACACUGGAACUGAGCCACGGUCCAGACUCCUACGGGAGGCAGCAGUAGGGAAUCUUCCGCAAUGGGCGAAAGCCUGACGGAGCAACGCCGCGUGAGUGAAGAAGGUCUUCGGAUCGUAAAACUCUGUUAUUAGGGAAGAACAAAUGUGUAAGUAACUAUGCACGUCUUGACGGUACCUAAUCAGAAAGCCACGGCUAACUACGUG
Molecule: ribosomal RNA, 497 nt
Filed under: uncultured bacterium
Lineage: Bacteria
Description: partial 16S ribosomal RNA
Rfam family: Bacterial small subunit ribosomal RNA
Source: RNAcentral